Molecule: ribosomal RNA, 253 nt
Filed under: uncultured bacterium
Lineage: Bacteria
Description: partial 16S ribosomal RNA
Rfam family: Bacterial small subunit ribosomal RNA
Source: RNAcentral
UACAGGGGGUGCAAACGUUGCUCGGAAUCAUUGGGCGUAAAGCGCACGUAGGCGGUUCGUUAUGUCGGAUGUGAAAGCCCUUGGCUUAACCGAGGAAGUGCAUCCGAAACUGGCGAGCUAGAGUACUAAAGAGGAUCGCGGAAUUCCCGGUGUAGAGGUGAAAUUCGUAGAUAUCUGGAGGAACACCGGUGGCGAAGGCGGCAUCCUGGACCAAUUCUGACGCUGAGGAGCGAAAGCCAGGGGAGCAAACGGG